This 688-nucleotide ribosomal RNA is filed under the name uncultured bacterium. Its description in RNAcentral is "bacterial SSU rRNA". It matches the Rfam family "Bacterial small subunit ribosomal RNA", at positions 97 to 796 of the family's 1533-position model. The record is from RNAcentral.
GGCGAACGGGUGCGUAACACGUGGGCAACCUGCCCCCGACCCUGGGAUAACCCCGGGAAACCGGAGCUAAUACCGGAUACUCCGACCGAACCACAUGGUGCGGUCGGGAAAGGUCCGCCGGUCGGGGAUGGGCCCGCGGCCUAUCAGCUUGUUGGUGGGGUAACGGCCUACCAAGGCAUCGACGGGUAGCUGGUCUGAGAGGACGACCAGCCACACUGGGACUGAGACACGGCCCAGACUCCUACGGGAGGCAGCAGUGGGGAAUCUUGCGCUAAUGCGCGAAAGCGUGACGCAGCGACGCCGCGUGGGGGACGAAGGCCCUCGGGUUGUAAACCCCUUUCGGCAGGGACGAAGCGAACGUGACGGUACCUGCAGAAGAAGCCUCGGCUAACUACGUGCCAGCAGCCGCGGUAAGACGUAGGAGGCGAGCGUUGUCCGGCAUCAUUGGGCGUAAAGAGCGCGCAGGCGGCUUGGUAAGUCGGAUGUGAAAACCCGGUGGCUCAACCACGGGCCUGCAUCCGAUACUGCCCGGCUAGAGGUAGGUAGGGGAGAUCGGAAUUCCUGGUGUAGCGGUGAAAUGCGCAGAUAUCAGGAGGAACACCGGUGGCGAAGGCGGAUCUCUGGGCCUUACCUGACGCUCAGGCGCGAAAGCUAGGGGAGCGAACAGGAUUAGAUACCCUGGUAGUCC